This 257-nucleotide ribosomal RNA is filed under the name uncultured Pseudomonas sp. RNAcentral describes it as "partial 16S ribosomal RNA". It matches the Rfam family "Bacterial small subunit ribosomal RNA", at positions 96 to 354 of the family's 1533-position model. The record is from RNAcentral. Lineage: Bacteria; Pseudomonadati; Pseudomonadota; Gammaproteobacteria; Pseudomonadales; Pseudomonadaceae.
CGGCGGACGGGUGAGUAAUGCCUAGGAAUCUGCCUGGUAGUGGGGGACAACGUUUCGAAAGGAACGCUAAUACCGCAUACGACCUACGGGUGAAAGCAGGGGACCUUCGGGCCUUGCGCGAUUGAAUGAGCCGAUGUCGGAUUAGCUAGUUGGCGGGGUAAAGGCCCACCAAGGCGACGAUCCGUAGCUGGUCUGAGAGGAUGAUCAGCCACACUGGAACUGAGACACGGUCCAGACUCCUACGGGAGGCAGCAGAC